RNAcentral lists this ribosomal RNA (445 nucleotides) under uncultured bacterium. RNAcentral describes it as "SSU rRNA". It matches the Rfam family "Bacterial small subunit ribosomal RNA", at positions 26 to 518 of the family's 1533-position model. The record is from RNAcentral.
AGAACGAACGCUGGCGGCAGGCUUAACACAUGCAAGUCGAGCGCCCCGCAAGGGGAGCGGCAGACGGGUGAGUAACGCGUGGGAAUCUACCCAACUCUACGGAAUAACUCAGGGAAACUUGUGCUAAUACCGUAUACGCCCUUCGGGGGAAAGAUUUAUCGGAGUUGGAUGAGCCCGCGUUGGAUUAGCUAGUUGGUGGGGUAAAGGCCUACCAAGGCGACGAUCCAUAGCUGGUCUGAGAGGAUGAUCAGCCACAUUGGGACUGAGACACGGCCCAAACUCCUACGGGAGGCAGCAGUGGGGAAUAUUGGACAAUGGGCGCAAGCCUGAUCCAGCCAUGCCGCGUGUGUGAUGAAGGCCUUAGGGUUGUAAAGGCACUUUCGACCGGAGAAGAUAAUGACGGUAUCCGGAGAAGAAGCCCGGCUAACUUCGUGCCAGCAGCCGC